RNAcentral lists this long non-coding RNA (2517 nucleotides) under Homo sapiens (human). RNAcentral describes it as "HSALNT0284368". Lineage: Eukaryota; Metazoa; Chordata; Mammalia; Primates; Hominidae. The record is from RNAcentral.
GCAAGCAGGACUGAGAACUUGCGCCAGACUACCCUAGCCUUCCAGUUGUGAAAAUAAGUAGCGUUUUCCUUCUUCCCCUGCCUGUGGAGUCUGCACACCAGAUUCACGCCCUCCCACAAGUUCUGGCCAGGAGACUUCUCUAUCGGUUCAAAUUGUUAACAACGUUCAGCUGGAGGUUUCUUUCUCCCCGGUUCAAAUUGUUAACAACGUUCAGCUGGAGGUUUCUUUCUCCCCGUGGCCUUUUCCCAGUGCCUCUGGCAGCCCUCCUCGAGGAUCCCUGUGAGGCAAGGGAGAAAUGGCUUGGUAGGGGACCCAGCGAGCCCACAGGGAUUUUCCUGCUGCUUCCUCUACCCCUCUAUUUCACUCUGCUCUCUAGUUCGACUCAACUCCAGGACACAGCUUAUCUGCAGUUAAUAACCGGCAGAGAAAGAGCAGAAGGAUAUAAGAACAUCAACUUAAUUUCCCAACUUCACUGUGAUCUGCCUAUCAACCCACACCCAUGGAACAAUCCUAAUCAGAAGACACAAGGGGCUCCAGGGCCUUUGGCCACAGACUGAAGGCGGCACUAUCAGCUUCCCUACUUUUGAGGUUUUGGGACUCAGACUGAUCCACCACUGGCUUCCUUGCUCCUCAACUUGCAGACAGCCUAUUGUGAGACUUUACCUCGUGACUAAGUGUUAAGCCAAACAGAUUCUAUGGCUUCCACACAAAUGAGUAAGUGAUGAAGUUUAUGUACAUGAACAUUGCCGGUGCUGAUGAUCUUCCAAGAAUCUAAGGAUGGUUUAUAAUCAGCUAUAGGACUUUAACAGCUGCUCUCAUAUGCAGAUUACUGAUAACUUUGGAGACUGUGACAUUGGAAUAGAGGAAAACCUACAGGACUCAUGAAGAGCUGAAAUGUUCACGAAUAUCAAGAAGAACAAGAGUUAAACAUAUGUAUUUAUAAAACUUUGAAACAUAUUUUAUCUUCUCUCAACUCCUGUGACUCCAUACCCAAUAUUUACAGUAUUAAAACUUAUAGAUUUCUGGCAUUUCAACCACUGUUGUCUAAUACUGUAUGGAAAUGUAUAACUCUUAAAAAUGUUCAAGUUGAUCUGAGCUAAAGCAAGAAAAAAAUGAGCACAAAGUAAAGGAAGCAAUUCUAAUAAUUGAAACAACAAACAACAAAGAAUCUGAUAGAGAAAACAUUUCCUAAAGCACAGAGUUAAACAAAACUAGAAAUGUGUAAAUGUAUGACAUCAAGUACUGUAUGAAAAGUGCAUUUUUUAGUUUAGAAAAUGUAGUGAUGAUCUUUAUUAUGCACUUAUGUAAAUGUAGGGUACAUACCCAAAUACUAAGACUAUGUAGUAGGUGCUGUAAUAAAUUUAUUCAGAAAUUUUUUCAAAAAUUUCUUUUCUUACAGUAAGAGCCUUCAACAAUAUUGAACCUUCAAUAAGAAUAAUUUAUCUCAACAAUACAUUAGUUCAUUUCACAUGUAUUACACAUCUAACAUGUUAUCAGACACAAUAAAUACAAAAAUUAAUAACAUUAGUUUUCUCAAAUGAUGUACAGCCAAUCAGUUUCUUGACAUCUAUAAGCAAAGAGGCCAAGUAAGGCAAAAGAUCUUAGUUCAACAAGUUUCCUCAGUGAAGGGCAAUAGAAGGGGUCAAUAGGGUAGAGAAGGAGAAAUGAGAUAACUUUAGGUCAUUUGCAGGGGAAGAGCAUGAGAAUGAUGCACAUCAAAUAGGUAAGUAUUAAUAUAAAUUGAAAGCUAAUACACACCAUGGAGACACUGGAUUCUGCAGAAGAGCACAGUCAGCAGGAUAGGAUAUCAGAGGCACAUAUGAAGGGCACGUAAAUAAAGCUAUUAGGUAAAACAAAAGUAUAUUCAUUGAGUUUAUAGCUUUGCUUGCAUGUUUUAGUUUAUGUUCCCCAAAACAGAGUUCAUAGAACAAAGUUUCCCAGCUGAGUGCAUACUGUUAAUCCUGAUCAUAGGAGCACCAAAACAUCUUCAGUGAAUCCAGCAAAUUCCAUGCAUAUAACUCCUUGCCUCUGUUUGGUAGCAGACGUUGUAUUUCCUCAUAAUAAUCAAGGUCUAUUAUCUAUGAUUGAAAAGAAACAUUUCUUUAUCUGAUUGUCCACUCGAUUGAGAAGCUCAAAGGGACCAAGUAGUGCUCCCAACAUUAAGUUCAGUGGAAUGGUGAUUGGGCCAACUGGUGAAAGCAUUGCCUCCUGGGAAGCCAAGACCUUUCAGUCAGUAGAACCCUAAGGCUGAAGAAACUAGAAAUACAAAUACUGGAAGUGAGUCAGCAGGAGUGAUGGUAAAAAAUGUCAAACUUCCCUAUACCCCUUGGAAACAUUAUUUAGCAUUUGACCACAGAAUGAUAUGUCAGUCUUGGUUCCAUGACAAUACUGUAUUCUGUACGAUAUAACUUUGACUGUACCAUGUUGUCAUCCACAACAAUUGCUUUAGGCAAGCCUUUAAGAAAUUAUAAUAAAGGUCUAACAGGCCACAGGUUUUCAGGUGAUACAGCAAUCAGU